UACAGAGGGUGCAAGCGUUAAUCGGAAUUACUGGGCGUAAAGCGCGCGUAGGUGGCUAAGUAAGAUGGGUGUGAAAUCCCCGGGCUCAACCUGGGAACUGCAUCCAUAACUGCUUGGCUAGAGUACGGUAGAGGGUAGUGGAAUUUCCUGUGUAGCGGUGAAAUGCGUAGAUAUAGGAAGGAACACCAGUGGCGAAGGCGACUACCUGGACUGAUACUGACACUGAGGUGCGAAAGCGUGGGGAGCAAAC
Molecule: ribosomal RNA, 250 nt
Filed under: uncultured bacterium
Lineage: Bacteria
Also listed under: 1 other name
Description: partial 16S ribosomal RNA
Rfam family: Bacterial small subunit ribosomal RNA
Source: RNAcentral